GUAGGGAAUAUUGGACAAUGGGCGCAAGCCUGAUCCAGCCAUGCCGCGUGAGUGAAGAAGGCCCUCGGGUUGUAAAGCUCUUUUGUCCGGAAAGAAAAGCGCCGGGUUAAUACCCUGGUGUCCUGACGGUACCGGAAGAAUAAGCACCGGCUAACUUCGUGCCAGCAGCCGCGGUAAUACGAAGGGUGCAAGCGUUACUCGGAAUUACUGGGCGUAAAGCGUGCGUAGGUGGUUCGUUAAGUCUGAUGGUAAAGCCCUGGGCUCAACCUGGGAAUUGCAUUGGAGACUGGCGGGCUAGAGUGCGGUAGAGGGUAGUGGAAUUCCCGGUGUAGCAGUGAAAUGCGUAGAGAUCGGGAGGAACAUCCGUGGCGAAGGCGACUACCUGGACCAGCACUGACACUGAGGCACGAAAGCGUGGGGAGCAAACAGGAUUAGAAACCCCGGUAGUCC
This 450-nucleotide ribosomal RNA is filed under the name uncultured bacterium. RNAcentral describes it as "partial 16S ribosomal RNA". It matches the Rfam family "Bacterial small subunit ribosomal RNA", at positions 354 to 796 of the family's 1533-position model. The record is from RNAcentral.